RNAcentral lists this ribosomal RNA (349 nucleotides) under uncultured eukaryote. RNAcentral describes it as "SSU rRNA". It matches the Rfam family "Eukaryotic small subunit ribosomal RNA", at positions 623 to 975 of the family's 1831-position model. The record is from RNAcentral.
AAAGCUCGUAGUUGGGUUUCUGGUACAACGCGCCUGGCCCGCAUUUGUGAGUGCCGGCGCGCGUUUGCCAUCCUUCUAGAAAACGUUUCUACCUGGGCAACUGGGCCGGACUCGCGAUCUAGAUCUUUUACUUUGAAAAAAUUAGAGUGUUUAAAGCAGGCUUUUGCUGUGAAUACAUUAGCAUGGAAUAAUAAUCUAGGACUUCGGUUCUAUUUUGUUGGUUUCUAGUACUGAAGUAAUGAUUGAUAGGGAUAGUUGGGGGUGCUAGUAUUGGCCGGCCAGAGGUGAAAUUCUUGGAUUCGGUCAAGACUAACUUAUGCGAAAGCAUUCACCAAGGAUGUCUUCUUUA